RNAcentral lists this ribosomal RNA (510 nucleotides) under Triticum aestivum (bread wheat). RNAcentral's name for it is "partial small subunit ribosomal RNA". The record is from RNAcentral. Lineage: Eukaryota; Viridiplantae; Streptophyta; Magnoliopsida; Poales; Poaceae.
AUGCAUGAGUUAACUAAGGAAAACAUUGAGCGUAUGAAUGCUAAAUAUAAACUUGCUGGAGAUAAGGGUAGAAAACAUGUUGUGUUUGCACCUGGAGAUCUUGUUUGGUUACAUUUGCGUAAGGAUAGAUUUCCUGAUUUGCGCAAAUCAAAGCUAAUGCCACGUGCUGAUGGUCCUUUUAAGGUGUUAGAGAAAAUAAAUGAUAAUGCAUAUAAACUUGAGCUGCCUGCAGAUUUUGGGGUUAGUCCCACUUUUAAUAUUGCAGAUUUGAAGCCUUAUUUGGGUGAGGAAGAUGAGCUUCCGUCGAGGACGACUUCAUUUCAAGAAGGGGAGGAUGAUGAGGACAUCAAUACAAUUAUUACACCCACAGUCCCUGCUGCUAUACAUACUGGACCAAUUACUAGAGCUCACGCACGCCAAUUAAAUUACCAGGAAACAGACCCUCGUGGUCAGGUUGAUCGUGCUCCGGCGUGGUCGAUAACCUCUCGGAGUUGGUUUAGCGAUUGCUAA